RNAcentral lists this microRNA (21 nucleotides) under Corchorus olitorius. Its description in RNAcentral is "aly-miR319c-". The record is from RNAcentral. Lineage: Eukaryota; Viridiplantae; Streptophyta; Magnoliopsida; Malvales; Malvaceae.
UUGAACCGAAGGGAGCUCCUU